GGGGAAUAUUGCACAAUGGGGGAAACCCUGAUGCAGCGACGCCGCGUGGAGGAAGAAGGUCUUCGGAUUGUAAACUCCUGUUGUUGAGGAAGAUAAUGACGGUACUCAACAAGGAAGUGACGGCUAACUACGUGCCAGCAGCCGCGGUAAAACGUAGGUCACAAGCGUUGUCCGGAUUUACUGGGUGUAAAGGGCGCGUAGGCGGACUGUCAAGUCAGUCGUGAAAUACCGGGGCUUAACCCCGGGGCUGCGAUUGAAACUGACAGCCUUGAGUAUCGGAGAGGAAAGCGGAAUUCCUAGUGUAGCGGUGAAAUGCGUAGAUAUUAGGAGGAACACCAGUGGCGAAGGCGGCUUUCUGGACGACAACUGACGCUGAGGCGCGAAAGUGUGGGGAGCAAACAGGAUUAGAUACCCUGGUAGUCCACACCGUAAACGAUGGAUACUAGGUGUAGGAGGUAUCGACCCCUUCUGUGCCGCAGUUAACACAAUAAGUAUCCCACCUGGGGAGUACGACCGCAAGGUUGAAACUCAAAGGAAUUGACGGGGGCCCGCACAAGCAGUGGAGUAUGUGGUUUAAUUCGAAGCAACGCGAAGAACCUUACCUGGGCUUGACAUCCCUGGAAUCGAGUAGAGAUACUUGAGUGCCUUCGGGAAUCAGGUGACAGGUGGUGCAUGGUUGUCGUCAGCUCGUGUCGUGAGAUGUUGGGUUAAGUCCCGCAACGAGCGCAACCCCUAUUGUCAGUUGCCAUCAUUAAGUUGGGCACUCUGGCGAGACUGCCGGUGACAAAUCGGAGGAAGGUGGGGACGACGUCAAAUCAUCAUGCCCCUUAUGCCCAGGGCUACACACGUACUACAAUGGCCGAUAACAAAGUGCAGCGAAACCGUGAGGUGGAGCGAAUCACAAAACUCGGUCUCAGUUCAGAUUGCAGGCUGCAACUCGCCUGCAUGAAGUUGGAAUUGCUAGUAAUCGCGGAUCAGAAUGCCGCGGUGAAUACGUUCCCG
RNAcentral lists this ribosomal RNA (1002 nucleotides) under uncultured bacterium. Its description in RNAcentral is "bacterial SSU rRNA". It matches the Rfam family "Bacterial small subunit ribosomal RNA", at positions 356 to 1376 of the family's 1533-position model. The record is from RNAcentral.